Non-coding RNA from Elaeis guineensis (African oil palm), 7880 nucleotides. Lineage: Eukaryota; Viridiplantae; Streptophyta; Magnoliopsida; Arecales; Arecaceae. The record is from RefSeq and is a predicted model, not a curated record.
CAUCUCACUACAUAAAGGCAGCUGGGGGGAGGCCGUGGAGGUCAUCCUGAGGGCGACGAGACCGAAGGAGGCGAGAGGCUGCGGCGGAAGUAAGGGAAGCCCGGAUCUCUAACCCUAUUCAUCUCAAAAGAUGAGUUCUCUGGGCUCCUUUCUUCCGUUUCUUGUGCAUUUGCUUUGAUUUCUGGGUUUUUGAUGGUUUUUUUCGGCAUAAAGUUUGAUUUUUAUUUUUGAUCUCUGGGAAGGAUUUGGUACUUGGGAGGAUUUUUUGGGUUCAUAGGAGGAGAAGAUUGGGGUGGGAAACAUCAAAGGUGGGAGCUUGGGCGUCAAUGUGAUUGUUGGGGUGAUAGUUUGAUCCCUCUUCUACGUGGGCUUUUGAUGGUGGUUUUGUUGAUCUUGCAAGGAGGCUGUUUUCGGUUUUAAGUUUCUUUUUUUUCUUUCUGUUUUUUUUGGGAUCUAGAGUUCUAUUUUUAAGGUUGUUUUAUGCUCCGUGGAGAUGGAUGCGUAAGGAUUUAAGGCUUUUGAGAUCGGGGUCUUCCCUACCGAGCAAAGGUGGGGUGAAGGGCAGAAGUUUUUGGAUUCCUUUCGCCGUUUGUCGUGUCUUUUUUGAAAAUUUUGGAUUGCUUUGGUGAAAUUGGGUUUGGAUUGGUUGUUUAUAGGCGUUUUUCGGCCGUAAGUUUUUAUUUUUAUUUUUCGGUUCUGGUGAUUUUCGAGUAGAAGGUUGCCGCUGAAUCGUCAAAUUGGAAAUUUCGGGUUCCUGGUCGGGCCUCCGUUUAGGUUUUAGAGUGAUUUGUGGAUAUAUUGGAGGAUCCCAACCAGAGAUUUCUGGGUCUAUUUAACAACAUCCGCAGCCUAUCAAAGUGUGAAGAGAUUUAGUCAGCACAAGUGGGAAAAUGGCGGAACAAAACUUGAAGGAAGAAGAAGGAUAUAAGGAGAAGGUCACAGUGAGAACGUUAUUUGGAGAAGAAAUUGAGGGUUUUGGCGAGGAUGGGUUUGAAGGCUCGAAGGAAGAGCAUCAGAUAUUUAUGGGGGUUUUCUAUGGAAGCAGUGCCGAUGAUGCAAGUAAUAAUAAUAAUAAUGUAUCAAGGAGGACAAAUUUCCAAUUGCAUGAGUGCAACCAAUCAAAACCACUGCCCAGUUUGAGUUGUAAUAGCUCAGCUGUGACUAGCUACUUCUCCCUGAAAGGUUCUUCAAGUGAACAGUUUGAGCAUGCAAAGAUGAAUCCUGGAGAAUUAAGUGGACCUGAAUGCUUUCCUGAAAGCUCCUCUUCCUGGGCUGGAGCAGAUGCUCACAAUCCAAAUGUGAUGAGGAUGGGACUAUCAUCUGUUGAGCUAUCAAAUAAUGUGAAUAUGGAACUUAACAGUAAUUUAGCUGAUGCUGAAUUUAGCUUGGUUGACUUGGACCCAUCAAAAGUUGCUUUGAGUUUGUCCAUUCAAGAUCCUCUCCAUGUUCGUCAACAAGCACCAUGCCGCAUAGUUGAAACAUGUGGUCGGGGCAUCUUAUCUAGUUACUAUCUUUUUAGUGGACAGGAAGAAAUGGAUGUAACUGGUGAUAUCGAUGAUACUGUUACCUUUAAUGGCAAAUGCAGAAGCCAAGACAAUAGAGAUCGCAAGACAGUUAUUAAAGCUAAAUCUGUUACCUCUCCUGUUUCUCAAGAGAGUUUUGCUCCUGGGCUUUUGGUAGCUAGUGCACCUGCAGCUUCUGUGGAGAUGCCUGGAUCACUAAUACACAUGAACCAUGGUGCCCAAGAAUCUAGUUUUCUGAACUCAGACAGAAUUGAUGCUGCAUCAAAGAGGACUUCUAUUAGGGAUCUUCCUGAUCGCCUUCGUGCACAUGCAAAUCACAUGCUUCUAGAUGCAGGAUGGGGGAUUGAGCCUCGCAAAAGGAGUGAUAGGACCAAAAUGGCUUCCUAUUUCAUAUCACCUGAAGGGAGAAGUUCUGUUACUUCACUGUCUCAAGCUUGGAAGACAUGUGGGAAGAUAUUAUCUGCUGCUGCACCAGACUCAGAACAAGAUGACUAUGGAAGGGAAUGGGACAAUGUUGAUAGGUUUUGGGGUGAUUUGACAGAUGUAUUGAUGUUCAUAGAAAAGAGGACUCAGCCUUCAGAUGACUCUCUACCACUUCUUCAGAGGUGGCAGCUUCUUGAUCCUUUCAUCGCUGUGGUUUGUAUUAACAAAAAAAUUGGUGUUCUAAGAGAGGGACGGGCACUGAGAGCUGUCAAUAGUGCUACAUUUGUUCUGAGUGAAAGAAAGAAUUCCGCCUUGGUGGAUAAUAUUGUGGAAAAAGAACUGGAGCAGGCUUAUGCAGCGAAGCCAACAAAUGGUUCGGCUAAGAAGGUGUAUAAGAGAUCCAAGAGAAUAUCAGAAAUUGAAGCUACUGAAAUAGGUGGCCAGGAAGAAUCCAGAGUACUUGAAAAGCUCUCAUCUGAAGCACCAGAAAUUCUUUUGACAAAAAAGGCACAAAAGAAGCAUGUCAAACGAGAAACUGAAGUAGCAAGGCAGUGUGGCAAGGACAAGAAGGGCAAUAUAACUAUGCUAAAAGUAUCCACGCCGAAGAAACCUAAAGGUUGUAAGAAAAGUGGACAAAAGCGGCCACGUGGAUUUUUUAUUAAUGAUGAUGAUCUGUUAGUUACCGGGUUUGUCAAAAACAAAGAUUUCAGCUCCCGUGAUAAAAAAAUUGCUUCAAAAGUAGGGGCUUCUAAGUCAAAUGCUCUAAGAAAGCUUAAAAGUCAAAAGCGAGGCUGUAGGUUGCUCCUGCGAACUCCUGGAAAAGGUGGAAAGCACUCCAUGGAUGGGAGGCGGUUAGUCCUCGGAGCAAGAACAGUGCUAUGCUGGUUGAUUGAGAUGGGUAUUGUAUCAUUGAAAGAUGUUCUGCAGUACAGGGACCUAAAGAACAAAGAUGUGGUAAAGGAUGGGUGGGUCACUAGGGAAGGAGUUCUUUGUAGAUGCUGCUCCAAGAUCCUCUCAGUGACCGACUUUAAGGUUCAUGCUGGUUCCAAGCUGCGAAAACCAUCUUCAAAUCUUUUUCUAGAAUCUGGUAAAUCAUAUACACUCUGUCUGCUUGAGGCAUGGACUGCUGAAUGCAAGGUGAGGAAAAAUCAUAUGCAAGUCAUGGAAGUUGAGGAGGUGGAUGCAAAUGACGAUACCUGUGGGUUUUGUGGUGAUGGUGGUGACUUAGUGUGCUGUGAUAACUGUCCAUCUACCUAUCAUCCUGAAUGCUUGCCGCCACAGGAGAUUCCAGAAGACAGUUGGUAUUGCCAUAAUUGCCUCUGUAAGACCUGUGGGGAUGUGGUUAAGGGAAAAGAAGCUUCAGGUUCCAUUGCUGUGUUAGAAUGUUUACAAUGUGAGAAUAAAUAUCAUGAUUGUUGCUUGAAGGAAAAAACUGCAUGCGAUGGUGAAAUUGUAUUGAGUAAAUGGUUUUGUGGGAGAAAUUGUCAAGAGGUUUACUCGGGUCUUCGCUCUCGGGUUGGAGUCCUGAAUUGUCUUGGUGAUGGGUUCUCAUGGACCAUCCUUAGAUGUAAUCAUGAAAUUAAAUCCAUACAGAAAAUACCACUAAUGGCUGAAUGCAACACGAAGCUAGCCAUUGCCCUGGGUAUCAUGGAGGAGUGCUUUCUCCCAAUGGUGGAUCCACGAACAGGGAUAGACAUGAUACCACAUGUCUUGUACAAUAGGGGGUCCAGCUUCGCUCGCUUAAAUUAUCAAGGAUUUUACACUAUAGUCUUGGAGAAGGGUGAUAAAAUCAUAUCUGUGGCAUCCAUCAGGGUGCAUGGAGUCACAGUGGCAGAGAUGCCUCUGAUUGCAACUUGCAGUGAGCAUCGUCGCCAAGGAAUGUGUAGAAGGCUGAUGGAUGCUGUAGAAAAGAUGCUGAAAUCUUUCAGAGUGAAGGCACUUGUAUUAUCAGCAAUUCCAGAACUGGUCAACACAUGGGUGUCGGGUUUUGGAUUCAAACCUAUCGAUGAUUAUGAGAAAAAAUGGCUCGAUCGUAUCAAUUUAAUGCUGCUUCCUACAACAUCAUUAUUGAUAAAGAGCUUGGAUGGAGCUCCAGCUGAAGCAUCAGAAAAUGCUGGAGGGGAAAGUGAUUUGUAUCAUGGUAAUCUAGGGGAUUCCAAUGAGAUGAAUGAUAGUGAGGCUGGAGAACAGGAUGCUGAAAAUGCUAUAGUUGAACCAGAUGCAGUAUCUGUACUCACAAAAAGCAUAUGAUGCAGUGAGCAGAACAUCCUGUGAACCCUAUUUUUGCUGCUAGACCUUGUGAAUGUGCAGUCUUCACAACAUUGAAUCAUUCAGCUCAGGGAUCUGAAAUCACUAACAUGUAUGAGAUGGAUCAGUACCAUUCAACAGAACAUGCUGUCAUUUUCACCAGAUGUAAGUUGCCCCUGUACCUACUGCUUAAGAUUCUUGUUCUGGCUCUUUUUCUUCUCCAGUUUCAGUUUAUGAAAUUCCUCCUAACUCUUGCUCCGGGGAACUGAAGGCAUCAUCAAGGAUGCAGAACAGAACACUGAUUAUCCAUGUAUAUUUUGAGGUUGGCGAAAUGCUGUGAAGAGUUAGCAGACGGGCUUCUGGAAGUGAUGAAAUUCAACAGAAAUGCUUCAUUGAUGUUUUGAGUUUCUUAACUGGACAAGCGGCAGAGAAACAUAUUUUGGUACUUCAGUGACUCAAGAACCUGCAGCAAUUGAUUAAUUCAGGUUGAGAUUAGUCCAAUGUUAGGAACAUGCACUUAGGAAAAAGCUAAGGAAGCCAAUAUGACUUACUGGCAAACAAGUUUUGCUUGAAAGGAUGACUGCAUAUGACUGAUUUGACUCUACUGAAAUGGUAAACCUUCAGAGAAACUGUCUGUAAAUAUGUUUUUUUGAACUUUGAAAAUGGAAAAAUGAGUAGUCCUCUAUUUGUUCUCUUGAGGAGUGCAGUGAACAUUGUGCUUUAACCAAUUGGCAAAAAAAGUUUCAUCUGCAGAGGCACCAGGAGACUGUAGUUGAUUUUGUUUGCCAUACUGAUACUGAAGGUCCAACUGUUUCAACUGGCUCCAGUCAGUGGCUGUUCAACUUUAUCACCAGCCAGAAGUUCUGCAAUCACAGUCAUAUAAAAAUGGAAGAAAAUAAUGAUUGUUAAAGGAGCCGCUUCAAAAUGAUUUUUUUUUUGAUGAAUUAUUUAGAGAGACCUAUUCCGAGGCAAUUGAUUGAGUUGUCCUUCAGGUGUAUGUCAACUGGAUAGGCUAACUAAUUUGUCUUCUGUGAUUGGACUCAGCAAAAACAGCAAAAAUCAAUCCAAAUUCAAUUCUUGCUUUUUAUUGUUCACAUCUGCUUAUUUUUCUGUUAGAUGGUUUGGAGUAAUUUCAUUCUUAAUUCUGCAUAGGGACUGCAGUAGUUCUGUGUGUGUUGUAAGUCUAAAUAUUUUCAAAUUGUGCUUAUGAUUUCUAGUGCAGUGGAGAUGGUGAAUAUCAGUUUGAGAAUGGGGCUUUACAACUGAAGAAAAAUAAUAUUUGUUUUUCAUCUUAAGACAAUCAGAUGCAGUGCUGAUUGUCAUUUAGGAUUUAAUCAGGUUAAGAAGCAACGUUGACAAAAGGACUUAGAAAUUCAAGAAACUUUGUAACUUCAGCAUUGGAAGUAGUCUGGGCUGGCUGGGAGUCUUCAAAGUUGGGGGAGACAAAUUGUUAUUAUCUUCUCGUAUGUUUGGUAAUAUCAUGACAGGAAUUUGCUUUUGCUUAUUUGGUUAUGAUAAGGAACUUUGUUCUUCGAUUGUCGAGGGCUCAUUCUACUUCAAUUAGUUGCUGUCAAAGAUUCCUUGCCUUCAUCAACCAUUUUCUCUUUAAGUAGUUUUAUUGAUUUUGUUGGAAUGGAGCAGAAUUUAAACUCUAAAGAGCAUGCCUAUUUUCUGAAAUAGCAGGUGACCUUGAUGCAAUGAGCACAAUCAGAUAAAUUGGUUCCAAAAAGUGCUGUAGCUAUGGCUCUUAGCGGGAUUCUUUUUUUUUUUUUUUUUCAUUUUUUUCUCUCCAACUCCUUUCACCUUUGCAAGGCAUAAGGCCCUGUGGAUGAUUCUUUUGGUCAGGGAGGUGAUCUGUUUAAGCUUUACAAAUAUGAAUCUUGGAUGAAACCUAUUGUUAUUAUUAAUAUUAUUUAGUGGCACUCUGUGGUCUAUUUGCUUUCUGUCAAUGUGUAUAUGCAGCUAUAAUAUUGCAUAAUAUACUAGUUCAGUUGUCUGGAUAGAAAAAAUUUCCUGAUUUGUCUCUAUUGCAUGCAUGCAUUUGCUGCAUUCAGAAAAGAUAAUGUUCCCAGUGUACAAUUCAAGGCCCGGUAUCUUACAUCAGCAUCUAUAAGAUUGGCUUAAAUUGUUAUAUGAUCACCUAGGUUUGGUAAAUUAGCAUGUGUGAUGGAAUGUAAUUGUUGAGGAUGAUUGUUGAGUGCUGAAAAAUAACAUAUAUCUAUGAAUUACUUAAAAAUUUUUAUUAUUUCAAGUUUUCCCCUUUCAUUGCCAACAAUGGUUUUGAUGUUUGUAUGACAACCUGAUGUAAGUACUAAGUAGGUUGUGGGCGUGGGUCCUUAAGGGGGCCGGGUGCCUAUUUCUUUUUUCUCAAUAUUUUGCUAGUAUCAGGUGACUUGUUUCAUCAGUUAAGAGUCAAUAAUUUGCCAUAAAAUUUAUUAGUGCGAUUUUACCAUCCACAUGAGAUAAGAGAUCUCUAACCAUUUGUUCUUAUUAUUGCUUAGUACUCGACCAUUGGACUUGUGUUUGCAUUUUAGACUUGUGUUUGCAUUUAAUGCCGAUCUCAUGAUAAUGAAAUAUGUGUGUUUUUUGCAUUGUUUUGAACCUGAUUGUUUGUUUGCACUCAGCUACUCCUGUGAAGUAACCUCUUGCUGUUUGUUUCCAUAUCUUUGCACUUUGGCUUCAGUAGUAUGUGCCUUUUAGUUAAAAGCUUUUAUUGAAGUAAAUUACUAGAGAGUAGAGACAAAAGGUCAGUCCUAAUUUUUGGGAACUUAACGUAGUAUCUUGAGUAUGUUUAUUUACGUAGUAAUGUUGCUUUUGAGCUUACUAAAGUGAUGACAUGAGAAAAUCCUUGACAUGCAGCUUGAUGAUUAUAAUAGAGAAUGUCAUAAGCUAGGUCCCAUGUAGAUAACCUGCCAGGUCCUUGCGCACAGGACAACAUCCUAUAUUGUACUCAUCCCAAUAUUAGAGGCUUGAUGUGGCCCACUUGUAACUUAAUUGUUAAAGAUAAUUUAAGAUAAUUAAGAUGAUAAUGAUAAAGAUAGACUUUAAAAUAAGAACUCCACUACUAUUAUGAUUCUGUGAUGGAAGUUGUGUUAAUCUAAAAGAGUUUCUGAUCUAGCCUAUAAAUAUAAUCUGUGACUCUCUAUCAGGAAUAGAUAUCGAGUUCCUCUAGCAUAGACGAGAAGAAUUUUUUUGCAGCAUUUUUUUGCAGGGUAGAAGCAAGGCAAAUCCGUCUGAUGGAUUCAUCUUCUGAUAUUCCUAUAAUGUUCUUGAUAUUUGAUUCAUUUGGACUUGAACAACAAUGGCUGAAGAGAGCUCAAGGAAUGCAGGGGUGGAAGUGAAAAAUUAUUCACUUGGAUAUAUCCUCUCUUUGUUGGAAAAGAGAGGAUAUAUACUAUCACAGACAUGAGCAGAAAAUCUGGUGUCUUUUGGGGCCUUUGAUAUUCCUACAAAUAUCCGUAAUGUGCAAGAGCAGCAAGACAAGCCUUUGACCUCUGUUUGCUUUCACCAGCCUUACCAUGUUGAUUCAUGCCAUGACUCUCAGACUAUUUAUAAUUUGUAACAAGAAGUUAUUAUACAGUGGGAGUGGAGAAUAUACAAAGUGAAUUUUCUGCUUGCAAACAUGACAUUUUGGAUUAAAGUCUGGCAAGGAUAAUUUUGGCUUUAUUAAGGCUAUUACAAAGUUCA